CUGUGUGCAAAUCUCAGAUGCCAGACCCUAAGACGUACAAACAGCACUUUGAAAGUAAACAUCCGAAAGCUCCACUCCCACCAGAGUUACAAGAAUAAACACAAAGACUUUACGAAGAAUAAUGUCAAUAUCUUUUGGUUCUUAAUCCGUCAACUCUGACAGUAGAGAAUAAGGUGUCGUCACGGAACACGACUAUGUUUUAUUUGACAUGUUCACAUGCAAAUUUUAUAAUAAAUGUACUUUUUCAAAAAAAAUUCUUAGUUUAUUUUUAAUUCCUAAACUAUUGAAAAACAGCCCAAUUUCACUUAUUUUUUACCCAUUCUUGUGCGCAAAAGUGUUUAAGCUCAGUUUGAAUGCUAAAAAGUUUUUCUAUCCCCUGUCAAACUUGAAAUUAUCUUCAAUAGCAGCACCCAUAGCAACAGAGUUUUUUUUAUAUCAUUUUUACUAGCGUACCACAUUCGAUAAAAAUGUGUUUUUCAUAUAUGUCUUCGAAACGCUUUAACAUUUGUAUCAUUCUACUUUUUAUCAUGUCUGUUUUUUCUCAGUACGUUUUUGUAUAUAUGUUAGUUGUUCCAGGGUUUAAAUUUUCUUUCUGUUGUUUGAAAUAUUUUUUAUUAACCGUCUAAGUGAGUUGUAUUUUAACGCCUUAACAUAAUUUUAUAUUAGCGUAUAAAAUAAAAGAUGCAAAUGAGUGAAAAACACGA
This is a long non-coding RNA of Hydractinia symbiolongicarpus, 704 nucleotides long. RefSeq lists it as uncharacterized. The record is from RefSeq and is a predicted model, not a curated record. The transcript has 3 exons. Lineage: Eukaryota; Metazoa; Cnidaria; Hydrozoa; Anthoathecata; Hydractiniidae.